Molecule: ribosomal RNA, 571 nt
Filed under: uncultured bacterium
Lineage: Bacteria
Description: bacterial SSU rRNA
Rfam family: Bacterial small subunit ribosomal RNA
Source: RNAcentral
ACUCCUACGGGAGGCAGCAGUGGGGAAUAUUGCACAAUGGGCGAAAGCCUGAUGCAGCGACGCCGCGUGGGGGAUGACGGCCUUCGGGUUGUAAACCCCUUUCAGUAGGGAAGAAGCGAGAGUGACGGUACCUGCAGAAGAAGCGCCGGCUAACUACGUGCCAGCAGCCGCGGUAAUACGUAGGGCGCAAGCGUUGUCCGGAAUUAUUGGGCGUAAAGAGCUCGUAGGUGGCUUGUCGCGUCUGCCGUGAAAACCCGAGGCUCAACCUCGGGCGUGCGGUGGGUACGGGCAGGCUAGAGUGUGGUAGGGGAGACUGGAACUCCUGGUGUAGCGGUGAAAUGCGCAGAUAUCAGGAAGAACACCGAUGGCGAAGGCAGGUCUCUGGGCCAUUACUGACACUGAGGAGCGAAAGCAUGGGUAGCGAACAGGAUUAGAUACCCUGGUAGUCCAUGCCGUAAACGUUGGGCACUAGAUGUGGGGGACAUUCCACGUUUUCCGCGUCGUAGCUAACGCAUUAAGUGCCCCGCCUGGGGAGUACGGCCGCAAGGCUAAAACUGAAAGGAAUUGACGG